CUACGGAGGGUGCAAGCGUUAUUCGGAAUCACUGGGCGUAAAGGACGCGUAGGCGGGUUGGAAAGUCAGAUGUGAAAUCCUACAGCUUAACUGUAGAACUGCAUUUGAAACUGCUAACCUAGAGUAUGGGAGGGGGAGAUGGAAUUAGUGGUGUAGGGGUAAAAUCCGUAGAUAUCACUAGGAAUACCGAAAGCGAAGGCGAUCUCCUGGAACAUAACUGACGCUAAGGCGUGAAAGCGUGGGGAGCAAACAGGAUUAGAAACCCUAGUAGUCC
RNAcentral lists this ribosomal RNA (274 nucleotides) under uncultured bacterium. Its description in RNAcentral is "partial 16S ribosomal RNA". It matches the Rfam family "Bacterial small subunit ribosomal RNA", at positions 523 to 796 of the family's 1533-position model. The record is from RNAcentral.